ACGGCUCAGUAACACGUGGACAACCUACCCUACGGAGGGGGAUAACCCCGGGAAACUGGGGAUAAUACCCCAUAGACUAUGGAUGCUGGAAUGCUCUGUAGCCGAAAGGUCCGCCGCCGUAGGAUGGGUCUGCGGCCGAUUAGGUUGUUGUUGGGGUAACGGCCCAACAAGCCUGUAAUCGGUACGGGUUGUGGGAGCAAGAGCCCGGAGAUGGAUUCUGAGACACGAAUCCAGGCCCUACGGGGCGCAGCAGGCGCGAAAACUUUGCAAUGCGGGAAACCGUGACAAGGGAACUCUGAGUGCCCGUAAAAUCGGGCUGUCCAUCGGUUUAAAUAACCGGUGAAGAAAGGGCCGGGCAAGACCGGUGCCAGCCGCCGCGGUAAUACCGGCGGCUCGAGUGGUGGCCACUAUUACUGGGCUUAAAGCGUUCGUAGCUGGUUUGUUAAGUCUCUGGGGAAAUCUUCCGGCUUAACCGGAAGGCGUCUCAGGGAUACUGGCAGACUAGGGACCGGGAGAGGUGAGAGGUACUCCAGGGGUAGGAGUGAAAUCCUGUAAUCCUUGGGGGACCACCUGUGGCGAAGGCGUCUCACCGGAACGGCUCCGACAGUGAGGGACGAAAGCUGGGGGAGCAAACCGGAUUAGAUACCCGGGUAGUCCCAGCUGUAAACGAUGCGCGUUAGGUGUAUCGGUGACCACGAGUCACCGAGGUGCCGAAGAGAAAUCGUGAAACGUGCCGCCUGGGAAGUACGGUCGCAAGGCUGAAACUUAAAGGAAUUGGCGGGGAGCAC
This 788-nucleotide ribosomal RNA is filed under the name uncultured archaeon. RNAcentral describes it as "bacterial SSU rRNA". It matches the Rfam family "Archaeal small subunit ribosomal RNA", at positions 85 to 879 of the family's 1478-position model. The record is from RNAcentral.